Non-coding RNA from Zopfochytrium polystomum, 73 nucleotides. The record is from the annotation of a GenBank genome assembly. NCBI's taxonomy places the organism in Eukaryota, Fungi, Chytridiomycota, Chytridiomycetes, Chytridiales, Chytridiaceae.
GGGUUUGUGGUCUAGUGGUAUGAUUCCUUCCUUCGGGUGGAGGAGGUCCUGGGUUCAAUCCCCAGCAAGCCCC